Transfer RNA from Culex pipiens (northern house mosquito), 72 nucleotides. It matches the Rfam family "tRNA". From Rfam's summary of the family: Transfer RNA (tRNA) molecules are approximately 80 nucleotides in length. The record is from Rfam. Lineage: Eukaryota; Metazoa; Arthropoda; Insecta; Diptera; Culicidae.
GGGACCGUGGUGUAAAGGUAAGCGUGAUUGCCUCUCACCCAAUCGGCCUGGGUUCGAUCCCAGACGGUCCCG